GCAGCACGGGAAGCUUGCUUCCUGGUGGCGAGCGGCGGACGGGUGAGUAAUGCAUAGAAAUCUGCCCGGUAGUGGGGGAUAACCUGGGGAAACCCAGGCUAAUACCGCAUACGUCCUACGGGAGAAAGCAGGGGAUCUUCGGACCUUGCGCUAUCGGAUGAGUCUAUGUCGGAUUAGCUUGUUGGUGAGGUAAUGGCUCACCAAGGCGACGAUCCGUAGCUGGUCUGAGAGGAUGAUCAGCCACAUCGGGACUGAGACACGGCCCGAACUCCUACGGGAGGCAGCAGUGGGGAAUAUUGGACAAUGGGCGAAAGCCUGAUCCAGCCAUGCCGCGUGUGUGAAGAAGGCCUUCGGGUUGUAAAGCACUUUCAGUGGGGAAGAAAGCCUUGGGGCUAAUACCCUCGAGGAAGGACAUCACCCACAGAAGAAGCACCGGCUAACUCCGUGCCAGCAGCCGCGGUAAUACGGAGGGUGCGAGCGUUAAUCGGAAUUACUGGGCGUAAAGCGCGCGUAGGCGGUCUGAUAAGCCGGUUGUGAAAGCCCCGGGCUCAACCUGGGAACGGCAUCCGGAACUGUCAGGCUAGAGUGCAGGAGAGGAAGGUAGAAUUCCCGGUGUAGCGGUGAAAUGCGUAGAGAUCGGGAGGAAUACCAGUGGCGAAGGCGGCCUUCUGGACUGACACUGACGCUGAGGUGCGAAAGCGUGGGUAGCAAACAGGAUUAGAUACCCUGGUAGUCCACGCCGUAAACGAUGUCGACUAGCCGUUGGGCUCCUUGAGAGCUUUGUGGCGCAGUUAACGCGAUAAGUCGACCGCCUGGGGAGUACGGCCGCAAGGUUAAAACUCAAAUGAAUUGACGGGGGCCCGCACAAGCGGUGGAGCAU
This is a ribosomal RNA of 880 nucleotides. It matches the Rfam family "Bacterial small subunit ribosomal RNA", at positions 66 to 940 of the family's 1533-position model.